ACGACCUUCCUUGAACAGGAUCUGUUUUAUGGGCUCGUACCUCUGUAUCCUUGAGUUCUAAAGAGACAGGAACCAAAGUCUGGUGGUUAAGAUAUAACCGUGGGAUCAGAGUGUGAUUAACGGCUAUGGUGAGACCUGUAGAGGGCCCAUCAAGCUGUAGAGGAUCGUUUCUGAGGUUGAUUCCAACCUUGGGGUGGUCGCACGGUCGUCUGACAGACC
Small nucleolar RNA from Macadamia integrifolia, 219 nucleotides. RefSeq annotates it as small nucleolar RNA U3. The transcript has a single exon. NCBI's taxonomy places the organism in Eukaryota, Viridiplantae, Streptophyta, Magnoliopsida, Proteales, Proteaceae. The record is from RefSeq and is a predicted model, not a curated record.